AGUGAACGCUGGCGGCGUGCUUAACACAUGCAAGUCGAACGAGAACGGAUUAUAGCUUGCUAUAAUUGUCAGCUAAGUGGCACACGGGUGAGUAAUGUAUAGGCAAUAUGCCUCUUACUAAGGGAUAACAAAUGAAAACGUUUGCUAAUACCUUAUACUCCUUAGUAACAGAAGUUAAUAACGGAAUGAUUUGUUGGUAAGAGAUUAGCCUGUAUUGUAUCAGUUAGGUUGUGGUGUAAUGUCUUACGAAGACUAAGACACACAACUGGUGUGAGAGGAUGAACAGUAACACUGGAAUGAAGACACGGUCCAGACUCAUACGGGAGGCAGCAGUGGGGAAUAUUGCACAAUGGACGAUAGUCUGAUGCAGCACCGCCGCGUGGAGGAUGACACAUUUCGGUGCGUAGACUCCUUUUAUAUGUGAAGAUAAUGACGGUAUUAUAUGAAUAAGCACCGGCUAACUACGUGCCAGCAGCCGCAGUAA
This 484-nucleotide ribosomal RNA is filed under the name uncultured bacterium. RNAcentral describes it as "partial 16S ribosomal RNA". It matches the Rfam family "Bacterial small subunit ribosomal RNA", at positions 29 to 523 of the family's 1533-position model. The record is from RNAcentral.